Molecule: ribosomal RNA, 482 nt
Filed under: uncultured bacterium
Lineage: Bacteria
Description: partial 16S ribosomal RNA
Rfam family: Bacterial small subunit ribosomal RNA
Source: RNAcentral
AAUGAACGUUGGCGGCGUGGAUUAGGCAUGCAAGUCGAGCGCGAAACGUAGCAAUACGUGGAAAGCGGCGAAAGGGAGAGUAAUACAUAGGUACGUACCCUUGGACCUGGGAUAGCGGCGGGAAACUGCCGGUAAUACCAGAUAAUGUCUCCGGACCAAAGGUAUGAUUCCGUCUGAGGAGCGGCCUAUGUCCUAUUAGCUAGUUGGUAAGGUAACGGCUUACCAAGGCAAAGAUGGGUAUGGGGUGUGAGAGCAUGCCCCCACUCACUGGGACUGAGACACUGCCCAGACACCUACGGGUGGCUGCAGUCGAGAAUCUUCGGCAAUGGACGCAAGUCUGACCGAGCGACGCCGCGUGCGGGAUGAAGGCCUUCGGGUUGUAAACCGCUGUCGUAGGGGAGGAAAUGCAGGUGGGUACUCCCAUCUGCUUGACUGAUCCUAGGAGGAAGGACCGGCUAAUCUCGUGCCAGCAGCCGCGGUAA